AUUGAACGCUGGCGGCAGGCCUAACACAUGCAAGUCGAGCGGAUGAAGGGAGCUUGCUCCUGGAUUCAGCGGCGGACGGGUGAGUAAUGCCUAGGAAUCUGCCUGGUAGUGGGGGAUAACGUCCGGAAACGGGCGCUAAUACCGCAUACGUCCUGAGGGAGAAAGUGGGGGAUCUUCGGACCUCACGCUAUCAGAUGAGCCUAGGUCGGAUUAGCUAGUUGGUGGGGUAAAGGCCUACCAAGGCGACGAUCCGUAACUGGUCUGAGAGGAUGAUCAGUCACACUGGAACUGAGAAACGGCCCAGACUCCUACGGGAGGCAGCAGUGGGGAAUAUUGGACAAUGGGGGAAAGCCUGAUCCAGCCAUGCCGCGGGUGUGAAGAAGGUCUUCGGAUUGUAAAGCACUUUAAGUUGGGAGGAAGGGAAGUAAGUUAAUACCUGGCUGUUUUGACGGUACCAACAGAAUAAGCACCGGCUAACUUCGUG
Molecule: ribosomal RNA, 484 nt
Filed under: uncultured bacterium
Lineage: Bacteria
Description: partial 16S ribosomal RNA
Rfam family: Bacterial small subunit ribosomal RNA
Source: RNAcentral